Molecule: unclassified non-coding RNA, 333 nt
Filed under: uncultured fungus
Lineage: Eukaryota; Fungi
Description: partial contains 5.8S ribosomal RNA and internal transcribed spacer 2
Rfam family: 5.8S ribosomal RNA (bases 1-133)
Source: RNAcentral
UGGUUCCGGCAUCGAUGAAGAACGCAGCGAAAUGCGAUAAGUAAUGUGAAUUGCAGAAUUCAGUGAAUCAUCGAAUCUUUGAACGCACAUUGCGCCCCCUGGUAUUCCGGGGGGCAUGCCUGUCCGAGCGUCAUUGCUGCCCUCAAGCACGGCUUGUGUGUUGGGCCCCCGCCCCCCGGCUCCCGGGGGGCGGGCCCGAAAGGCAGCGGCGGCACCGUCCGGUCCUCGAGCGUAUGGGGCUUUGUCACUCGCUCGUGUAGGUCCGGCCGGCGCCAGCCGACACCCAUCAAUCUUACCCAGGUUGACCUCGGAUCAGGUAGGGAUACCCGCUGA